UGCACACACUGCCCAUCGCUCCACCCGAGCUGGGUUUGGGUGAGGGCCGCUCGAGUUGGGCGGUUCGAACCCGAACCCGGUGAGGGGGGAGAAGUUGUAACAAGGUAGCCGCACCGGAAGGUGUGGCUGGAUCACCUCCC
RNAcentral lists this ribosomal RNA (140 nucleotides) under Nitrososphaerota archaeon. Its description in RNAcentral is "partial 16S ribosomal RNA". It matches the Rfam family "Archaeal small subunit ribosomal RNA", at positions 1338 to 1478 of the family's 1478-position model. RNAcentral also lists the same sequence under 1 other name. Lineage: Archaea; Thermoproteati; Nitrososphaerota. The record is from RNAcentral.